Molecule: ribosomal RNA, 1230 nt
Filed under: Grapevine phytoplasma Cl6053
Lineage: Bacteria; Bacillati; Mycoplasmatota; Mollicutes; Acholeplasmatales; Acholeplasmataceae
Description: bacterial SSU rRNA
Rfam family: Bacterial small subunit ribosomal RNA
Source: RNAcentral
GAAACGACUGCUAAGACUGGAUAGGAAACAGAAAGGCAUCUUUUUGUUUUUAAAAGACCUUCUUCGGAGGGUAUGCUUAAAGAGGGGCUUGCGCCACAUUAGUUAGUUGGUGAGGUAAAGGCUUACCAAGAUUAUGAUGUGUAGCUGGACUGAGAGGUUGAACAGCCACAUUGGGACUGAGACACGGCCCAAACUCCUACGGGAGGCAGCAGUAGGGAAUUUUCGGCAAUGGAGGAAACUCUGACCGAGCGACGCCGCGUGAACGAUGAAGUAUUUCGGUAUGUAAAGUUCUUUUAUUGAAGAAGAAAAAAUAGUGGAAAAACUAUAUUGACGUUAUUCAAUGAAUAAGCCCCGGCUAACUAUGUGCCAGCAGCCGCGGUAAGACAUAGGGGGCGAGCGUUAUCCGGAAUUAUUGGGCGUAAAGGGUGCGUAGGCGGUUAGAUAAGUCUAUAAUUUAAUUUCAGUGCUUAACGCUGUCUUGUUAUAGAAACUGUCUUGACUAGAGUGAGAUAGAGGCAAGCGGAAUUCCAUGUGUAGCGGUAAAAUGUGUAAAUAUAUGGAGGAACACCAGAAGCGUAGGCGGCUUGCUGGGUCUUUACUGACGCUGAGGCACGAAAGCGUGGGGAGCAAACAGGAUUAGAUACCCUGGUAGUCCACGCUGUAAACGAUGAGUACUAAGUGUCGGGGAAACUCGGUACUGAAGUUAACACAUUAAGUACUCCGCCUGAGUAGUACGUACGCAAGUAUGAAACUUAAAGGAAUUGACGGGACUCCGCACAAGCGGUGGAUCAUGUUGUUUAAUUCGAAGAUACACGAAAAACCUUACCAGGUCUUGACAUACUCUGCAAAGCUAUAGAAAUAUAGUGGAGGUUAUCAGGGAUACAGGUGGUGCAUGGUUGUCGUCAGUUCGUGUCGUGAGAUGUUAGGUUAAGUCCUAAAACGAACGCAACCCCUGUCGUUAGUUGCCAGCACGUAAUGGUGGGGACUUUAGCGAGACUGCCAAUUAAACAUUGGAGGAAGGUGGGGAUAACGUCAAAUCAUCAUGCCCCUUAUGAUCUGGGCUACAAACGUGAUACAAUGGCUAUUACAAAGAGUAGCUGAAACGCGAGUUUUUAGCCAAUCUCAAAAAGGUAGUCUCAGUACGGAUUGAAGUCUGCAACUCGACUUCAUGAAGCUGGAAUCGCUAGUAAUCGCGAAUCAGCAUGUCGCGGUGAAUACGUUCUCGGGGUU